AACUCAACUAACGCUCGUGACUCAUUCAUCAAAACCUAAUUAUUAAUUCAUUUCUUGUUGCUUUUGCUUCAAGUUGUUUCUAUUGUAAUUAUUUUCUUUUCUUUUCAUCUUUUGUAAGAAAAAUGAGAAAAAAAGUUGUGAUUGUGGCUCUAGUAGGAUUGUUUAACGGCUUGUUGAAUAUUCGAUAGUUUUCCAGCUAAUAGAAUUAGAGAGUUUCUUUCUGAUCUGUUUUUUCAUUUUGAUUUUGCUUUUAUUGAAUACAGAAACCUCUGUUUUGUUUUGAAAUUUGAAGCUGAACUUGAAUGAUAUGUAAUUUUGUGAUUGGAGGACAAAGUUGUUUUAUUUGAUUGAAUUUUGGAGAAUUUGGGGGUUUGGAUUAGGGAUUUUUUUUUUAAAAUUUUUAGCCGAUUACAUUGAAACAGCUUAGAUAUUUGACUGGGUUUUGUACAGGAUUAAAGGGUUUUCUUUUAUUGAUCUGGGUUUGUGAUUUUGGGGUUUUAAGUGGUGAACAAAGCUGUUGUUUAUUUUAUACAUUCAGUGUUUGAUGCUACUGCUAUUAAGGGUUUGAUCUUUGAUUCAAAUCAUGAAUUAGAGCCUUUUGACUAAUUAUGGAUCCUGAUUAAUAAGGGAAGACAAUCUCCGGUCGGGCGCAUACGGUAUAAGGGCAAGAUUGAUGGUUGGAGUGAGGAUGUUAGUUUCUAAGUUCUGAGAUUUAUGAGGAAAUUGUUGAAGUUGGUUGACAUUUGACUGUUGGAGAACCAAACAUUACGGUGUUUGAGAUUAGAUAUAGUGGAAUUUGGGUAUGGAUGAUGCUCAGGGCAGCUCAAGUUCGCUCCCUCCUUUCCUCGCGAAGACGUAUGAGAUGGUGGAUGAUCCUUCCACAGAUUCUAUCGUGUCCUGGAGUGCAAGUGAUAAGAGUUUCGUUGUAUGGAAUCCGCCCGAGUUUGCAAGAGAUUUACUUCCCAGAUUCUUCAAGCACAAUAACUUUUCUAGCUUUAUCAGACAGCUUAAUACAUAUGGUUUCAGGAAAAUUGAUCCAGAGCAGUGGGAAUUUGCGAAUGAUGAUUUUGUAAGAGGUCAGCCUCAUCUUCUGAAAAACAUACAUAGACGCAAACCGGUUCAUAGUCAUUCCAUGCAGAGUCACUUAGGUCAAGGAGCAUCUUCAUUAACGGAAUCGGAGAGACAGAAUUUAAGAGAUGAGAUCGAGAGACUUAAGAAUGAAAAAGAGUUGCUUGCUUUAGAGUUAAAGAGGCAUGAACAGGAGCGUCAAGGAUUUCAGCUGCAAAUGCGGCUUUUGAGGGAGCGUUUACAAAAUAUGGAACGGCGGCAACAAAUUAUGAUGUCUUCCGUGGCUCGUGUCUUGCAGAAACCAGGAGUUGCCAUAAAUCUGACACCACAAUUGGAGACUAAUGACAGAAAGAGAAGGUUGACUAGAAUUGCUUACUUAUAUGAUGAAGCCGGGAUCGAAGAUAGUCAGACAGGCAAUUCCCUAAUUUCUAGAGAAAAUGUAGAUAGUACAUCAUUGUCUAAUAUGGAGCCAUUUGAACAAUUAGAGUCAUCCAUGGUGUUUUGGGAGAAUGCGGUACAUGAUUUUGGUCAAACCAACAUUCAACAUGAGUCAAACCUUGAAUUGGAUGAAUCAACAAGCUGUGCAGAAACCCCAGCAACAUCUUGCAUACAGCUUAAUAUCGAUGCUCGACUUAAAUCCCCUGGGAUUGACAUGAACUCUGAGCCUGCUCUCGUUGUUGUUUCUGAGCCUAUUACAGCAAAGGAACAAGCUGCAGGAACUACUGCACCUGCAACAACUGGGGUUAAUGAUAUAUUUUGGGAACAAUUUUUGACUGAAAAUCCCGGUUCAACUGAUACACAGGAAGUUCAGUCAGAAAGAAAAGAUUCCGAUGCUAGUAAGAACGAAAGCAAACCCGGUGAUCAUGGCAAAUUUUGGUGGAAUACUAAGAAUGUAAAUAACCUUGCAGAACAGAUGGGGCAUCUUACUCCUGCGGAGAGAACGUGAUAUCGGUUGACUAUUCUUUUUACACCUUUUGGUGCCUCAGUAUUUCAGAUGUAUUAAGUUUAGGUGAUUAACAACAUGCUGUGUUUAUGUCGAGUUGGGAAAUGCAGAUGUACCUGAUUGAAGUAGACGGUGUUGUUACGUAGUUGUCAAAUUACUGAAAAAAUCAAUCCAUUUUGCUGGAAAAGUAGAAUUAAGUGCUGUGUUGCAGUAGAAGGGUGUAUGGCUGAGGGUUUAGGAAAAAAUGUCUUGAAGGAUAUAGCUUAUGAUGGUAUGGACUUAAGUGUCUUAAGUAAAAAGUUCGAUUUUCUUGUAUUUUUAUGCUUGCAACUCAAGUAACUUCUAGGUGAUGAUUAAAUAUAUGAAAAGCAACUAAAAAGAAACUCUCUGAAAGUA
Gossypium raimondii (Peruvian cotton) is the source of this 2407-nucleotide RNA transcript. It is a transcript of the gene named heat stress transcription factor A-4a, with no coding region annotated. The transcript is spliced from 3 exons. The record is from RefSeq and is a predicted model, not a curated record. Lineage: Eukaryota; Viridiplantae; Streptophyta; Magnoliopsida; Malvales; Malvaceae.